AGCGAACGCUGGCGGCAGGCCUAACACAUGCAAGUCGAACGGAUCCUUCGGGAUUAGUGGCGGACGGGUGAGGAACACGUGGGAACGUGCCUUUUGGUUCGGAACAACUCAGGGAAACUUGAGCUAAUACCGGAUAAGCCCUUCGGGGGAAGAUUUAUCGCCAUUAGAGCGGCCCGCGUCUGAUUAGCUAGUUGGUGAGGUAAAGGCUCACCAAGGCGACGAUCAGUAGCUGGUCUGAGAGGAUGAUCAGCCACACUGGGACUGAGACACGGCCCAGACUCCUACGGGAGGCAGCAGUGGGGAAUCUUGCGCAAUGGGCGAAAGCCUGACGCAGCCAUGCCGCGUGAAUGAUGAAGGUCUUAGGAUUGUAAAAUUCUUUCACCGGGGACGAUAAUGACGGUACCCGGAGAAGAAGCCCGGCUAACUUCGUGCCAGCAGCCGCGGUAAUCACGGAGAGUA
This 459-nucleotide ribosomal RNA is filed under the name uncultured bacterium. RNAcentral describes it as "bacterial SSU rRNA". It matches the Rfam family "Bacterial small subunit ribosomal RNA", at positions 29 to 534 of the family's 1533-position model. The record is from RNAcentral.